This is a long non-coding RNA of Carassius carassius (crucian carp), 1263 nucleotides long. RefSeq lists it as uncharacterized. The transcript is spliced from 7 exons. The record is from RefSeq and is a predicted model, not a curated record. NCBI's taxonomy places the organism in Eukaryota, Metazoa, Chordata, Actinopteri, Cypriniformes, Cyprinidae.
UGUCUUUUAUAAGAAGCACUGAUUUGAUCUCACAGCACUGAGACAAACACAGGUGAAGACUCAAUAACAACAAGAUCCACACUGAAAAUAAUUAUUUGGAGAUUUUUGACAAGAUGAGAAAAUCCCUCUUGCUGGUUCUCACCAUAACAGCUUCUGUAGCUUUUGCCAGUCCACCAGUUCAGGAUGAGAAGCUUCCAGAUCCAGUGGUGAAGGUACCAGUGGUUGAAAACGAGCUGAAUGAAGAGCACACAGAAGCAGAAGCAGGUCCUCUGGUGCAGGAUGAAGCUGUUGCAGAUUCACGUCCGGAGCCUGAUUCAGUGCUGCUGGAGCCAGAAACAACAGAGGAACAAAGAUUACCAGAAGAGACACAAAUGAUGUUGGAGAAACUUGUGCUAGAGGCAGAUAACUUGACUGAUGAGAUGCUAGAGACAGAACUAGAGCCUGAGCUGGAAAUAACCGACUUUUAGAAGGACAGCAACAUCAUACCAGAGUUAGAGUCUGAAACUAAUACAGAAGAGGAAGAUGAAAAAGAAGAAAAUCUAGUAAAGGAAGAGCCUACACUUGAGGCUGACUAUAUAAUGGAUGAAAAUCCAGAAAUACAAAUGGACCCUGGGAGGCAAAGUCGAAGGACACAGAAUGGAUGGGGGACUUGUGGAGGAGUUGUCCUACAGGGCAAAUGUUACUAGUACUUCAGAGUAAACCUCAAAGCCUAUCAAGCUGAGGUAUGAGUGUCAUAUAAAACAUAUCAUUCCAUUGUCAGUCCAUCUGCUAUAAUGGCCACCUGGCCUCUGUGUCAAGCAGCUACAUUCUUGGAGAAAUAGGGAAGCUAAUGGAUCGGAAUGGCGGCCGCACUCGCGCAUGGCUUGGAGGAUGGAGAAUCUUUAAUACACGUAAUUUCAUAUGGUUGGAUGGAACGCACUGGAGCUAUAAUGGCUGGGGUGUUGGAGAACCCAAUAAUGCUGGAGGGCAGGAGAACUGUGCAGAGACGUGGUAUAAUCUGGCGUUCAAUGAUGCACCAUGCACAAUUCCCAAACCAUUCCUCUGUUCCUGUCCACUUUAAACAGACAGAGGGUUAACCUAACCUGCUAUACAGUAACGUUUAUGAAAAAAGUGUAAAUAAUAAUCAUUAUUGCAAUUUUUUAAAGAUUAAUUUAUAAGAGUUAUCAACUGAUGUUUAAUUCAAUUUGCCUUGCAUUUUUAUAAAAAGAAGAAUAAACAUGUUUAUAUAUCUCAACUGUUUCAUUAAGUUUGGUUAAUAUAGCA